This 978-nucleotide ribosomal RNA is filed under the name Staphylococcus hominis. RNAcentral describes it as "bacterial SSU rRNA". It matches the Rfam family "Bacterial small subunit ribosomal RNA", at positions 55 to 1011 of the family's 1533-position model. Lineage: Bacteria; Bacillati; Bacillota; Bacilli; Caryophanales; Staphylococcaceae. The record is from RNAcentral.
AUGCAGUCGAGCGAACAGACGAGGAGCUUGCUCCUUUGACGUUAGCGGCGGACGGGUGAGUAACACGUAGGUAACCUACCUAUAAGACUGGGAUAACUUCGGGAAACCGGAGCUAAUACCGGAUAAUAUUUCGAACUGCAUGGUUCGAUAGUGAAAGAUGGCUUUGCUAUCACUUAUAGAUGGACCUGCGCCGUAUUAGCUAGUUGGUAAGGUAACGGCUUACCAAGGCAACGAUACGUAGCCGACCUGAGAGGGUGAUCGGCCACACUGGAACUGAGACACGGUCCAGACUCCUACGGGAGGCAGCAGUAGGGAAUCUUCCGCAAUGGGCGAAAGCCUGACGGAGCAACGCCGCGUGAGUGAUGAAGGUCUUCGGAUCGUAAAACUCUGUUAUUAGGGAAGAACAAACGUGUAAGUAACUGUGCACGUCUUGACGGUACCUAAUCAGAAAGCCACGGCUAACUACGUGCCAGCAGCCGCGGUAAUACGUAGGUGGCAAGCGUUAUCCGGAAUUAUUGGGCGUAAAGCGCGCGUAGGCGGUUUUUUAAGUCUGAUGUGAAAGCCCACGGCUCAACCGUGGAGGGUCAUUGGAAACUGGAAAACUUGAGUGCAGAAGAGGAAAGUGGAAUUCCAUGUUUAGCGGUGAAAUGCGCAGAGAUAUGGAGGAACACCAGUGGCGAAGGCGACUUUCUGGUCUGUAACUGACGCUGAUGUGCGAAAGCGUGGGGAUCAAACAGGAUUAGAUACCCUGGUAGUCCACGCCGUAAACGAUGAGUGCUAAGUGUUAGGGGGUUUCCGCCCCUUAGUGCUGCAGCUAACGCAUUAAGCACUCCGCCUGGGGAGUACGACCGCAAGGUUGAAACUCAAAGGAAUUGACGGGGACCCGCACAAGCGGGUUGAAGCAUGUGGUUUAAUUCGAAGCAACGCGGAAGAACCCUUACCAAAUCUUGACAUCCUUUUGAUCCUUUCUAGAAGAUA